Molecule: small RNA, 123 nt
Filed under: Marmota monax (woodchuck)
Lineage: Eukaryota; Metazoa; Chordata; Mammalia; Rodentia; Sciuridae
Source: RNAcentral
GCUGGGCAUGGUGGCACAUACCUGUAAUCCCAGUAACAUAGAGGCUGAGACAGGAGGUUGGGAGUUCAAAGCCAUCCUCAGCAAAAGUGAGGCACUAAGCAACUCAGUGAGACCCUGUCUCUA